RNAcentral lists this ribosomal RNA (249 nucleotides) under uncultured bacterium. RNAcentral describes it as "partial 16S ribosomal RNA". It matches the Rfam family "Bacterial small subunit ribosomal RNA", at positions 57 to 305 of the family's 1533-position model. The record is from RNAcentral.
GCAAGUCGAGGGGUAACAGGGAAGCUUGCUUCCGCUGACGACCGGCGCACGGGUGAGUAACGCGUACACGACCUACCUUAUACUGAGGAAUAGCCCCGGGAAACUGGGAGUAAUACCUCAUAGUAAUAUUACUUUACGAAAUAAUAUUUAAAGCUCCGGCGGUAUAAGAUGGGUGUGCGUUAGAUUAGCUAGUUGGUAAGGUAACGGCUUACCAAGGCUACGAUCUAUAGGGGGCGUGAGAGCGUGACC